Molecule: non-coding RNA, 46 nt
Organism: Schistosoma haematobium
Lineage: Eukaryota; Metazoa; Platyhelminthes; Trematoda; Strigeidida; Schistosomatidae
Source: Rfam
GCACUGCUGAGGAGUUCCACAAUAGGACGAAACGACCGUCCAAUGC